Molecule: ribosomal RNA, 406 nt
Filed under: uncultured bacterium
Lineage: Bacteria
Description: partial 16S ribosomal RNA
Rfam family: Bacterial small subunit ribosomal RNA
Source: RNAcentral
AUUGAACGCUGGCGGCAGGCCUAACACAUGCAAGUCGAACGAGUGGCGGACGGGUGAGUAAUGUCUGGGAAACUGCCCGCUGGAGGUGGAUAACUACUGGAAACGGUAGCUAAUACCGCAUACCAUCAGAUGUGCCCAGAGGGGAUUAGCUAGUUUGUGUGGUAAUGGCUCACCUAGGCGACGCUCCCUAGCUGGUCUGAGAGGAUGACCAGCCACACGGGAAAUGAGACACGUUCCAGACUCCUACGGGAGCCAGCAGUGGGGAAUAUUGCACAAUGGGCGCAAGCCUGAUGCAGCAAUGCCGCGUGUAUGAAGAAGGCUUUCGGGUUGUAAAGUACUUUCAGCGAGGAGGCGUUACUCGCAGAAGAAGCACCGGCUAACUCCGUGCCAGCAGCCGCGGUAAUAC